UUCGCAAUGCCCGAAAGGGUGACGAAGCGACGCCGCGUGCGGGAAGAAGGCCUUCGGGUUGUAAACCGCUGUCGGGAGUUAAGAAAUGCAAGGGUGUUAAUAGCAUCCUUACUUGACUAAGGCUCCGGAGGAAGCCACGGCUAACUCUGUGCCAGCAGCCGCGGUAAUACAGAGGCGGCAAGCGUUGUUCGGAAUUAUUGGGCGUAAAGAGCACGUAGGCGGCCGUGUAAGUCGGUUGUGAAAGCCUUCCGCUUAACGGAAGAACAGCAGCCGAUACUGCAUAGCAUGAGUGCGGAAGGGGAGAGUGGAACUUCUGGUGGAGCGGUGAAAUGCGUAGAUAUCAGAAGGAACGCCGGCGGCGAAAGCGGCUCUCUGGUCCGUAACUGACGCUGAGUGUGCGAAAGCUAGGGGAGCAAACGGGAUUAGAUACCCCGGUAGUCCUAGCCGUAAACGAUGGGCACUAA
This 464-nucleotide ribosomal RNA is filed under the name uncultured Planctomycetota bacterium. RNAcentral's name for it is "bacterial SSU rRNA". It matches the Rfam family "Bacterial small subunit ribosomal RNA", at positions 365 to 819 of the family's 1533-position model. Lineage: Bacteria; Pseudomonadati; Planctomycetota. The record is from RNAcentral.